GUGGGGAGUGGGAUCUAGUGGCCACCUGUGGCUCACCCAUGCAGCUUUGCUGAGGCCACAGACCUAACACUGAGGAUAUGCGGUCAUGAAGCUCAUUUCUACAAGUUUUAUUUUCUCUAGACAACGUGUGUGUUAUCCACUGCAAUACUGCCUGGAGUUAACCUAUCUAAAAGUGCAAUAAUGGGUCCAAGGAAGAUCAAAGUCAAUUUACGUCUGAAUUCUGCAUCCUCCUUCACUUAUAAAUAUGACAGGGAUGGUCCAGAGGAGGGCCAUUAAGAUGAUCACUAAGAUGAUCAGAGGGCUGGAGCACCUCUCCUAUGAGGAAAGGUUGAGGAAACUGGGCUUGUUUAGCUUGGAGAAGAGAAGGCUCUGUGGGGAGACCUUAUUGUGGCCUUCCAGUACUUGAAGGGAGCGUAUAAACAGGAGCGGGAAUGGUUGUUUAUGAGGGUGGAUAGUGAUAGGACAAGGGGAAAUGGUCUUAAACUGAGACAGGGGAGGUUUAGGUUGGAUAUUAGGAGGAAGUUUUUCACCCAGAGGGUGGUGACGCACUGAACAGGUUGCCCAAGGAGGCUGUGGAUGCCCCAUCCCUGCAGGCAUUCAAGGCCAGGCUGGAUGUGGCUCUGGGCAGCCUGGUCUGGUGGUUGGUGACCCUGCACAUAGCAGGGGGUUGGAACUCAAUGAGCAUUGUGGUCCUUUUCAGCCCAGGCCAUUCUACGAUUCUAUGAUUGUAUGACAUCAUAUGGGUAGCCUAACAUGGUUUCAGGGCCCCUUCCCACGCACUCCAUCUUGGAUGUGCCUGACUCAGGAAGCAGAGUUACAAACAGAGGAGAUGUUAUAAAUAAUCCUGAGUACAACAUGUUCAUUUUUCAGGUUGUUCAGUCUGCUUCUCGAUGGAAAAUUCCUCUAUGUGGAUAAAAUGCCAUCAGCCUCUCCAGGGCUGGUACAAGCAGAGGCACCUCAGUACAUGAAGAUUACUAAGGGAUAGGCUGCCAAUAUUUUCAGUUGUUUUUGUUGUUGUUGUUUUUCCUUUUUUUUUUUUUAAACUCCAUUUUCUUCUUGUUUUAGACAAUUCCAUUUCAGUCUGUCUCUUGAGCACUGUCUCAUUUUACAUCUGUUUUCCCUUUGCAUAUUUUCCCUUCUCCUCAUGUUUACUUUUGUAAGCAGUCUGUUGUUUUUAUUCAAUUCCCCCUGGUUUUCUUUGGGUUUUUUCAGUUUUUUCUAAUCUUCUCUACAGCUCUUCCAUUCUCCCUUCUUACCUUCCAUCCCAGAG
This 1270-nucleotide long non-coding RNA is filed under the name Gallus gallus (chicken). RNAcentral describes it as "lncRNA (ENSGALG00010011481.1)". Lineage: Eukaryota; Metazoa; Chordata; Aves; Galliformes; Phasianidae. The record is from RNAcentral.